This is an RNA transcript of Dryobates pubescens (Downy woodpecker), 2493 nucleotides long. It is a transcript of the gene named solute carrier family 37 member 2, with no coding region annotated. The transcript has 18 exons. The record is from RefSeq and is a predicted model, not a curated record. Lineage: Eukaryota; Metazoa; Chordata; Aves; Piciformes; Picidae.
GCGGUGAUAAGGGGCCGCGGGGGGGCCCCGGCAGCUCCGCCGCCGCCCGCCAUGAGGGCACCGCUCGCCCCCGGUGUCCGCCUGCUUCGUGCCCUGCCCCGGGACAGCCGGUACCGAGGGCUGACGCUGGUGCUGACCUUCCUCUCCUACACCAGCUACCACCUCUCCAGAAAGCCAAUCAGCAUUGUCAAGAGCCAACUGCACCCCAAUUGCUCAGCCUUGGGCCCGAACCCCCACAAUGACUCCAACAGCAGCACAUGGUGCAGCUGGGCACCCUUUGAUGGGGACAACUACAAGGAGCUUUUCGGGGCGCUGGACAAUGCCUUCCUGGUGGCCUACGCCAUCGGCAUGUUCAUCAGUGGCAUCUUCGGGGAGCGCCUGCCCCUGCGCUACUACCUGUCGGGGGGCAUGGUGCUGAGCGGCCUCUUCACUCUGCUCUUCGGCCUCGGCUACUUCUGGCACAUCCACGUCCUCUGGUACUUCAUCGUCGUGCAGGUGUGCAAUGGGCUGGUGCAGACGACUGGCUGGCCCUCUGUCGUGACCUGCGUUGGGAACUGGUUCGGGAAGGGCAAGAGAGGGCUGAUCAUGGGCAUCUGGAACUCACACACCUCCGUGGGCAACAUCCUGGGGUCUCUGAUCGCUGGGGUCUGGGUGUCCUCUGCCUGGGGCCUGUCCUUCAUCGUGCCUGGCAUCAUCAUCGCCGCUGUGGGCAUCAUCUGCUUCUUCUUCCUCGUGGAGUAUCCUGAGGAUGUUGGCUGCAGUCCACCUCUGCAUCAUAUGGCCUCUGAUGAGGAUCCUGGAGGGGUGACCUGCAGCGAGAAGGAUCCUGAAGGGAUCACCUCCAAUGAGGGGCCGCUGAGCAUCUCAGGCCAGAGCAGCAGGGAUCACCUCAACAGCCCCAAGGAGCCAGCUGAGGAGCCUGAGGCCAUCAGCUUCCUGGGGGCACUCCGGAUACCUGGCGUGGUGGAGUUCUCCCUGUGCCUGCUCUUUGCCAAGCUGGUGAGCUACACCUUCCUCUACUGGCUGCCCCUCUACAUCGUCAACGUUGCUCACUUUGGGGCCAAGGAAGCCGGGGACCUGUCGACCCUCUUUGACGCUGGGGGCAUUUUAGGAGGCAUCUUCGCCGGCCUCAUCUCCGACUACACCGGCGGCAGGGCCACCACGUGCUGCGUGAUGCUGGUGGUCGCUGCUCCCAUGCUGUUCCUGUACAACCACAUCGGCCAGAACGGCAUCGGCACCUCCAUAGCGAUGCUGGUGGUCUGCGGCGCGCUGGUGAACGGCCCCUACGCUCUCAUCACCACUGCCGUGUCGGCAGACCUGGGAACCCAUGAGUCUCUCAAAGGAAACGCCAAAGCCCUCUCCACUGUCACAGCCAUCAUUGAUGGCACAGGGUCCAUAGGUGCCGCGCUGGGGCCGCUGCUGGCAGGGCUCAUCUCCCCCACGGGCUGGAACAAUGUCUUCUACAUGCUGAUAGCAGCUGAUGUCUUGGCCUGCCUGCUCCUCACUCGUGUGGUGGUCAAAGAGUUCCGUGGGUGGUGCGGCCCCAUGGCACGGCAGAGAGGGUAUGUACAGCCCCCCCGUGCCAGCCUGUGCCAGGGCCUGGUGCGGCUGCCCCUGUGCAGGGACGUUUGUGAUCCCCUGCUGGCCCUGCUGACCGCAGCGGGCUCCAGGAGGCCCUCUGCCCCGUGUCUGGCUGCUGUGGGCACAGGGGGAUGUGUCCCCAUGAGCCAGGUCGGCACCAGAGGGCAUUUUAGCCCUUGCUGCCUCCCCAGGCUCUCGGUGCUGAGAGGCUGCCCUCGUGUCUUGUAGCUCUAGCGUGCAGCUAACAGAGUCAGUGCUGGAUGGGAAGUAGCUCGGUGUGAGUAUCCCUCAGGAUUAAACACGACCCAGGCCUGAUUCGCCCUGAUUCUGAGUUUCACUUGGCAGGCUCAGCCUAGGAUCACUUCAAAUCAAGAUGUGGGAAUCAGAAGGAUCAAAUCACGGUGGCCAGGGACGGGAGUGCAGCCAGGCGGGUGGGCAGCACGUCCUUAGCAGCGUUAGCCCAGAUUGAUUGGCAUCAAUUAGUGCCCUCCAAAUGCCACAGGCACAGGCUGGCUUCCACCCACACUAAUGAGCUUCGAUUGCACAGCGCCAGGGCUGGCUGAUCAAACCCCCAGCAUGGCAUCCAGGGUGCAGCCCUGGCCCCACUCUGAUUGCCACCAACGCUGCACCAUGAGCACAAGGGGCAAGGGGCUACAGCUGGUCCAGUCACGGGGGUGCCAGACUCCCCUCCCUGAAAACGUUUGGUCCUUUGUGUCUUGUUUGCAGGUGACAGCCAUGGUCUGGGCUCUGCUGUGGUAUAAGGAGUUCUGACCUGACCCCAGCGAGCCGCCCCGAGCCGAGGGGCCCGGAGGGAGGAAAGAGGCUUUGGGGCACGCCGGGAGCGUGUUGGUCUCGGCAGAGCCGAGGCACAGCCUCAGGCAGGGGCCCCGUGGGGCUCCCACCGGCAGCGUG